Long non-coding RNA from Daphnia magna, 2972 nucleotides. RefSeq lists it as uncharacterized. The record is from RefSeq and is a predicted model, not a curated record. The transcript is spliced from 2 exons. Lineage: Eukaryota; Metazoa; Arthropoda; Branchiopoda; Diplostraca; Daphniidae.
AUGGUCGACGAUGUUUCGUGUCAGUAUAGUUUAGUACUAUUCAAGCGAAAAUGCCGUGAGUUGAAACUAUCCGCAUUGAGCUAUCGAGUACACCCGUAGGUAGCGAUUUGCAUAUGCCGUGUCAAAAGUUGAGGUUUAAAGAGAGGAAGAGAAGAAUAAAAAAGGUGGUACUACAGGCUGCGCUUUGUGUGUCGUGAAACGGGUUGGGUUCUAAGAAUAUCGACCAAUGGUGAGCGUUUGUGUGCGCUGAAUUGCAUAAAAACUAAAUUCGGAUGCGCAAUGGUUUUGCCUUCGUCUCUUGUAUCGCCGCCCGGAUGAAUAAUCAAAGCUUUUGCAGAUGCGUGCUUGUAAAGCCGUCCAUUUAGCAUCCAAGUCCUUAUUUUACAUAACAGCCGACUCCCUUCUCAUUGUCGCUCCGCAUUUUGAUAAAUGGCCUCAUCUUACACGUUUUUUUUUUAUAAUAUGAAAGAGCCCGUCGGCAGACACUGAAAGCGACUCCCAGUUUCAGCUAUUCUUUUCUCUCUCUAAAAAAAAAAAUACAAAACAAAACAAAAAAACUUGUGUAUCUUUGUGUGCGCCGUGUAUAAAGGUGACGAAAGCUCCACCAACGGGUUGCUUCUACCGGCUGAUUUCAAUCAUUGAAGCUCCUCCUACCCCUCCUACUCUACCGUGAAUUAAUCGGAUAGGUGGGGCUCUAGCGGCGCUGCCAACCAGCCUUUCAUUCUUUCACCACUUUGAUACCACUGUCUCGCUCUUUUGUCCUUUUGAAACGACCUAGCACAGCAUUGCGAAGGCUUGCGACAUAAACUUGAUGUAUGCUACUUAAACUUAACGUAACGGUUCGAUCCAAAAAUCGUUAACGGAAUAAUGGGCGUUAAUUUUUUUUAAAACCUCAAGUUCAUGAAAAGGUUCAGAUGUCACUUUUAAUUCCCUUUCUGUUUUGUUGUCGAAAACUUUUCUUUAAUUCCGUGUUUGAAUUUUUUGAAUCGAUGACCAGCUAAAGAGGUUGGGAAAGAUUGAUUAUCUUGUCAACGGUAAGACUUUCAAAUUUUAUCGUUGACUACGUUUUCUUCUACAAGUUUUUUAAUCCAACGAUAUCUGUCUUGAAAUUUGUCUUCUUUUUCUUUAAAAUUUUCUUUUAAACCUUUUAUUUCUUGUUGAUCGGUGUCCUCUCGAAUGGGGAUCGAGGGAUGUCUUUAAGUAUUUAUGUUUGGUUUGGGCAUGUCUCUGGGUGGUUGAACACUGAAAGCAACUGACAUUUUUCUAUGGAGAUUUUUGAAUUCACAAACGAAAGGCUCAGACUGUGUGUGACACCAAACGUUGUCUUUGGUCUGUCCGCCAUUCGGAUCGAAGUCGUUCCUUAUACUUAUCGCUCAAUUCCGAAAGAGGAAGUACAAAACCAAAUUGAAACUAUACCAAAAAUAGAGAGACGAAAACAGUCAUAUCUAACUUUUUCUUUUCUUUUUUUUGUGAACUCGAUGCAACCCACACACAUACACACGUUCUAGUAUUGUUUGUAGCCGUUUUAGCUUCACCAGUUUCAGUUUGGUUUGCUUUCUCGAUGCGCCCGCUCACUGUCACUCUGGUGUCCAAACCCAUAUAGCCCCCCUGCUUUUGUCGAUAAGCCAUCGCCUUAUUCGAAUUUUUAAAGGUCCCUUUCUCGUAGACCUUUUUUUUCACGUGUUAAGUCUCUCUUCUUAGUCCGCCUGCGCCGAGAGAGAGAGAGAGAGAGAGUUGACUGUUUUUUUUCUUUUUACUUUUGUGCUCGUCUCCUCUUUGUCUUUGUCGUCCGAGAGCUGCGUGUGGAGGACGGGGGGUUGGAAGAUGGAAAAGACCAAAAGUCUGGGCAGUUGUGUCAUGGCGGCACCUGAUAAAAACGCGGAAGAACUGAUCGGCAUCGGCACACUGUUGCAGCCGACGCGUGCCCUUUUUUUUUUCUUUUUCCCCACUCGUGUGUGUGGUCCUCCUCUGCGUACAGUUUUUGUUCCAUGUCGCCUUUUUGGUUUUCCUUCUUCUUCAAUAGACUUAACUAUCCUUUACCUCCCUGUUUUUUUGUUACCGUCUUUUUGUUUUUGUUUUUUGUCUUCUAAUCGAGUCUCAUAACCAUGGCGGACAUCUUAACCCCAUCCCAUCUACGCUCUUAUCUGAUCUCUUUUGGCUGCUGUCGUUUUCUUUCUCUUUCUUAAUGGUAGGAAAUUAUCGGCAAAAAAAAAAAAAAGAGAGAGAAAGAAAAAAUCGUUAAUUUUCGUUGAAGAACGCCACCCGCCUCUUUGACCUUUUAUUUGCCUUGCCCGUCCUCGUGAACACACACAUAGGUUUGUGUGCUGUAUCCAUGGCUUGUUUGUUCAUUUUUAUUAACCUUCAUUAAGUGUCGUAGUGGAGGGCGCAUCAGCUUGAACGAAGCAUUUUGUUUCGGCAUCCAGUGCCUAAAACGCUGAAAAAAGAGAAUGAAAACCCAUAAACACCCCAUGUUGGAAAAAAGAAAAAAGCCGGGGAGUUGGGAGGUUUCAUGACUGUGGUGUGGUCGAAAUUGAGAGUACAACAACUAACUACACGGUGUAGUUUUUUCUAUUGUUGAACCGGAGCAGCAAUGGAUAAUGACCGGUGUUAACCUGAUGGCGAGCUAGAUUUUUCAAUGAAUAAUAGCCCAACUUGAUCACUAUUGUCCGUCGUCUUUGGGAAGACGUUAAUAAAUAUCAACCUGCGAAAGAAGGAAAACAAAUGGAUGUCUAGGGCUCGUUUUUUUUUGGUUUUUGUUUGUUGGUUUUUGCUGCCUGACUUGAUUGGUAUCGUUGUAGAUUAUAUGUGAGAGUCGAUGUGAUUAUGUACGGCAACAUCGAAACCGACGAAAUUUGAUUUACAAUUUUUUUCCUGACCAGCUUUUUGCCACGCCCUUUUUUCUUCCAGCUGGAAGCUGAAGACCUCCCUCCGCUUGCCUCUUUUGAAAUAAUACAAAAUCCUGUUAGAUUACA